RNAcentral lists this unclassified non-coding RNA (378 nucleotides) under plant metagenome. RNAcentral's name for it is "partial contains 5.8S ribosomal RNA, internal transcribed spacer 2, and large subunit ribosomal RNA". The stretch from base 1 to 105 matches the Rfam family "5.8S ribosomal RNA", at positions 50 to 154 of the family's 154-position model. The record is from RNAcentral.
GAAAUGCGAUAAGUAAUGUGAAUUGCAGAAUUCAGUGAAUCAUCGAAUCUUUGAACGCACCUUGCGCUCCUUGGUAUUCCUUGGAGCAUGCCUGUUUGAGUAUCAUGAAAUCUUCAAAGUAAAUCUUUUGUUAACUCAAUUGGUUUCUACUUUGGUAUUGGAGGUCUUUGCAGCUUCACACCUGCUCCUCUUUGUUCAUUAGCUGGAUCUCAGUGUUAUGCUUGGUUCCACUCGGCGUGAUAAGUUAUCUAUCGCUGAGGACACUGUAAAAGGUGGCCAAGGUAAAUGCAGAUGAACCGCUUCUAAUAGUCCAUUGACUUGGACAAUACUUUUAUGAUCUGAUCUCAAAUCAGGUAGGACUACCCACUGAACUUAAGC